This 1059-nucleotide ribosomal RNA is filed under the name Vibrio harveyi. RNAcentral describes it as "bacterial SSU rRNA". It matches the Rfam family "Bacterial small subunit ribosomal RNA", at positions 130 to 1185 of the family's 1533-position model. The record is from RNAcentral. Lineage: Bacteria; Pseudomonadati; Pseudomonadota; Gammaproteobacteria; Vibrionales; Vibrionaceae.
CCUGAAGUGGGGGAUAACCAUUGGAAACGAUGGCUAAUACCGCAUAAUACCUACGGGUCAAAGAGGGGGACCUUCGGGCCUCUCGCGUCAGGAUAUGCCUAGGUGGGAUUAGCUAGUUGGUGAGGUAAUGGCUCACCAAGGCGACGAUCCCUAGCUGGUCUGAGAGGAUGAUCAGCCACACUGGAACUGAGACACGGUCCAGACUCCUACGGGAGGCAGCAGUGGGGAAUAUUGCACAAUGGGCGCAAGCCUGAUGCAGCCAUGCCGCGUGUGUGAAGAAGGCCUUCGGGUUGUAAAGCACUUUCAGUCGUGAGGAAGGUGGUAGUGUUAAUAGCACUAUCAUUUGACGUUAGCGACAGAAGAAGCACCGGCUAACUCCGUGCCAGCAGCCGCGGUAAUACGGAGGGUGCGAGCGUUAAUCGGAAUUACUGGGCGUAAAGCGCAUGCAGGUGGUUUGUUAAGUCAGAUGUGAAAGCCCGGGGCUCAACCUCGGAAUAGCAUUUGAAACUGGCAGACUAGAGUACUGUAGAGGGGGGUAGAAUUUCAGGUGUAGCGGUGAAAUGCGUAGAGAUCUGAAGGAAUACCGGUGGCGAAGGCGGCCCCCUGGACAGAUACUGACACUCAGAUGCGAAAGCGUGGGGAGCAAACAGGAUUAGAUACCCUGGUAGUCCACGCCGUAAACGAUGUCUACUUGGAGGUUGUGGCCUUGAGCCGUGGCUUUCGGAGCUAACGCGUUAAGUAGACCGCCUGGGGAGUACGGUCGCAAGAUUAAAACUCAAAUGAAUUGACGGGGGCCCGCACAAGCGGUGGAGCAUGUGGUUUAAUUCGAUGCAACGCGAAGAACCUUACCUACUCUUGACAUCCGGAGAACUUUCCAGAGAUGGAUUGGUGCCUUCGGGAACUCUGAGACAGGUGCUGCAUGGCUGUCGUCAGCUCGUGUUGUGAAAUGUUGGGUUAAGUCCCGCAACGAGCGCAACCCUUAUCCUUGUUUGCCAGCACUUCGGGUGGGAACUCCAGGGAGACUGCCGGUGAUAAACCGGAGGAAGGUGGGGACGACGU